RNAcentral lists this ribosomal RNA (505 nucleotides) under uncultured bacterium. RNAcentral describes it as "partial 16S ribosomal RNA". It matches the Rfam family "Bacterial small subunit ribosomal RNA", at positions 28 to 507 of the family's 1533-position model. The record is from RNAcentral.
GACGAACGCUGGCGGCGUGCCUAAUACAUGCAAGUAGAACGCACAGUUUAUACCGUAGCUUGCUACACCAUAGACUGUGAGUUGCGAACGGGUGAGUAACGCGUAGGUAACCUGCCUGGUAGCGGGGGAUAACUAUUGGAAACGAUAGCUAAUACCGCAUAAUAUUAAUUAUUGCAUGAUAAUUAAUUGAAAGGUGCAAUUGCACCACUACCAGAUGGACCUGCGUUGUAUUAGCUAGUAGGUGAGGUAACGGCUCACCUAGGCGACGAUACAUAGCCGACCUGAGAGGGUGAUCGGACACACUGGGACGGAGACACGGCCCAGACUCCGACGGGAGGCAGCAGUAGGGAAUCUUCGGCAAUGGACGAAAGUCUGACCGAGCAACGCCGCGUGAGUGAAGAAGGUUUUCGGAUCGUAAAGCUCUGUUGUAAGAGAAGAACGGGUGUGAGAGUGGAAAGUUCACACUGUGACGGUAUCUUACCAGAAAGGGACGGCUAACUACGUG